UAGGUUUGUAGUGUGACUGCAAAAUGAUUGACAGAAUUAGCUGGGUGGUUCUUAACUCCUCAGAAUCUCUCGUUCUUACCGAUUGUGAAAGGGUGCAACUCUUUUGGCCCAUCAAGAUCCUCGAAUUCCUUGCUAUGAUUAUGGAUCUGUCAGAGUUAUCGAGCUUUGUUGAGGGCAUUGAAGCCUUGGUUUUGUCUGUCCAUGUGUGGGCUUAUGUUUGGUGCUCGUGCUCUGCGAAUAGGUUGGCCCAUUGUUUGGCUCGGGAUGCUCUGGUGCAUGGUAAUUGGGGAUUGUUUUGUUCCUGUCUCUAUCUCUAAAGAGGGGGGGUGGGGCUUCCUAUGUUUUCCUGAAUGGAUUCUUCUCCUCUACCUUUGUUGGUGAAGCUUGUGUCCUUGGUUAGCUGUGGGGGCUCAAAAUGCUCUCUUUACUAUAUUUUACAUGUUCUUUUUUGACAAAUUAUAUAGGCCUCAAAAUAUACAUCUU
Molecule: long non-coding RNA, 483 nt
Organism: Cucumis melo (muskmelon)
Lineage: Eukaryota; Viridiplantae; Streptophyta; Magnoliopsida; Cucurbitales; Cucurbitaceae
Exons: 2
Source: RefSeq, a predicted model, not a curated record